GACCAAGGGUUCCUGUCCAACGUUAAUCGGGGCAGGGUGAGUCGACCCCUAAGGCGAGGCCGAAAGGCGUAGUCGAUGGGAAACAGGUUAAUAUUCCUGUACUUGGUGUUACUGCGAAGGGGGGACGGAGAAGGCUAUGUUGGCCGGGCGACGGUUGUCCCGGUUUAAGCGUGUAGGCUGGUUUUCCAGGCAAAUCCGGAAAAUCAAGGCUGAGGCGUGAUGACGAGGCACUACGGUGCUGAAGCAACAAAUGCCCUGCUUCCAGGAAAAGCCUCUAAGCAUCAGGUAACAUCAAAUCGUACCCCAAACCGACACAGGUGGUCAGGUAGAGAAUACCAAGGCGCUUGAG
RNAcentral lists this ribosomal RNA (349 nucleotides) under Escherichia coli. RNAcentral's name for it is "partial 23S ribosomal RNA". It matches the Rfam family "Bacterial large subunit ribosomal RNA", at positions 1343 to 1694 of the family's 2925-position model. Lineage: Bacteria; Pseudomonadati; Pseudomonadota; Gammaproteobacteria; Enterobacterales; Enterobacteriaceae. The record is from RNAcentral.